Molecule: ribosomal RNA, 245 nt
Filed under: uncultured Gammaproteobacteria bacterium
Lineage: Bacteria; Pseudomonadati; Pseudomonadota; Gammaproteobacteria
Description: partial 16S ribosomal RNA
Rfam family: Bacterial small subunit ribosomal RNA
Source: RNAcentral
CUCUAAGGAGACUGCCGGUGACAAACCGGAGGAAGGUGGGGACGACGUCAAGUCAUCAUGGCCCUUACGACCUGGGCUACACACGUGCUACAAUGGGCGGUACAAAGGGUUGCCAAGCCGCAAGGUGGAGCUAAUCCCAUAAAACCGUUCGUAGUCCGGAUUGGAGUCUGCAACUCGACUCCAUGAAGUCGGAAUCGCUAGUAAUCGUGAAUCAGAAUGUCACGGUGAAUACGUUCCCGGGCCUU